This 344-nucleotide unclassified non-coding RNA is filed under the name soil metagenome. RNAcentral describes it as "partial contains 5.8S ribosomal RNA, internal transcribed spacer 2, and large subunit ribosomal RNA". The stretch from base 1 to 120 matches the Rfam family "5.8S ribosomal RNA", at positions 35 to 154 of the family's 154-position model. The record is from RNAcentral.
GAUGAAGAACGCAGCGAACUGCGAUAAGUAAUGCGAAUUGCAGAAUUCAGUGAAUCAUCGAGUCUUUGAACGCACAUUGCGCCCCCUGGCAUUCCGGGGGGCAUGCCUGUCCGAGCGUCAUUUCUGCCCAUCAAGCGCGGCUUGUGUGUUGGGUCGUCGUCUCCUCCGGGAGACGGGCCCGAAAGGCAGCGGCGGUACCGUCCGGUCCUCGAGCGUAUGGGAGCUUUGUCACCCGCUCGAUUAGGGCCCGGUCGGCGCCAGCCGUCAACCCCAAUUUUUAUUCAGGUUGACCUCGGAUCAGGUAGGGAUACCCGCUGAACUUAAGCAUAUCAAUAAGCGGAGGA